CAGCAGCCACGGUAAUACGUAGGGUGCAAGCGUUAAUCGGAAUUACUGGGCGUAAAGCGUGCGCAGGCGGUUAUAUAAGACAGAUGUGAAAUCCCCGGGCUCAACAUGGGAACUGCAUUUGUGACUGUAUAGCUAGAGUACGGCAGAGGGGGAUGGAAUUCCGCGUGUAGCAGUGAAAUGCGUAGAUAUGCGGAGGAACACCGAUGGCGAAGGCAAUCCCCUGGGCCUGUACUGACGCUCAUGCACGAAAGCGUGGGGAGCAAACAGGAUUAGAUACCCCCGUAGUCCCUGUCUCUUAUAC
RNAcentral lists this ribosomal RNA (301 nucleotides) under uncultured bacterium. RNAcentral's name for it is "partial 16S ribosomal RNA". It matches the Rfam family "Bacterial small subunit ribosomal RNA", at positions 509 to 807 of the family's 1533-position model. The record is from RNAcentral.